ACGCCUGUAGCUCAAUUGGUAGAGCGGCGGUCUCCAAAACCGCAGGUUGGGGGUUCGAUUCCCUCCGGGCGUGCCA
This 76-nucleotide transfer RNA is filed under the name Petrotoga halophila DSM 16923. RNAcentral describes it as "tRNA-Trp". It matches the Rfam family "tRNA". From Rfam's summary of the family: Transfer RNA (tRNA) molecules are approximately 80 nucleotides in length. Their secondary structure includes four short double-helical elements and three loops (D, anti-codon, and T loops). Further hydrogen bonds mediate the characteristic L-shaped molecular structure. tRNAs have two regions of fundamental functional importance: the anti-codon, which is responsible for specific mRNA codon recognition, and the 3' end, to which the tRNAs corresponding amino acid is attached (by aminoacyl-tRNA synthetases). tRNAs cope with the degeneracy of the genetic code in two manners: having more than one tRNA (with a specific anti-codon) for a particular amino acid; and 'wobble' base-pairing, i.e. permitting non-standard base-pairing at the 3rd anti-codon position. Lineage: Bacteria; Thermotogati; Thermotogota; Thermotogae; Petrotogales; Petrotogaceae. RNAcentral also lists the same sequence under 2 other names. The record is from RNAcentral.